Molecule: long non-coding RNA, 2205 nt
Filed under: Cricetulus griseus (Chinese hamster)
Lineage: Eukaryota; Metazoa; Chordata; Mammalia; Rodentia; Cricetidae
Description: lncRNA (ENSCGRG00015032345.1)
Source: RNAcentral
CUCUGAUGUGGUCGUAAUGCCACUGUUUGGAUCAGUGGUGGGCAUGCCGCUUCAUUCAUGGCCAUGGGUGUGGCUCCCUUCUCAUUAACUUGUCUUAGUGAUGUGUUUUGACAAUCUGUAGACUAAAGACUCUUUAUCAACUUAGGUCCUGGGUGUAGUCACAGAAAGUAGUCUUUGAUUGUAGGUGGUCUUCUGUAUCCCGUUUAUGUUUUGUUUGCACUACUGAACAGGAGGGGUUAGCUGAUAUUUUUCCGGUUUUUCAUCCUUUUCUGUGAAGUCCCUGCACAAUAGUGAACACAGGAUUUCCCUCCAGAGUUACCAGUACAAAAAGUGUAUCAGUGCUGGUCCACAAAGGGUGGAUAAUAACGGUGUCUUCUAUGGGAUUUUGUCCUGCAAGUCAUGUAAGCCUUCUGUCUGCAGGCAGGAGGAUCAGAGGAGCUCUGAGUCACAGUCAUGCUAGCACACGUCAUGAUGGGGAGAGACUAAUGUGUUUGGGACCAAAACCACCCAAGUUGGAAAUUUCUGGAUCACAAAGGAGCCUGGCAUACCCUGAAGCCGUCACUGGUUGGUGCUGUCUGGCGGCCGUGCUGCACCAGCCCUCAGUAGUUACAAAGUGGGCUCUGAGAGUAUGCUGCGGGUUCUGAGCUGGUGGGGACUAUGGCCAUGGUCAGGUGAAAGAUACAAUCUGGGGCUUUCUGCAGAAAUUCCAUCUGAGGAUUUUUACAUGUAAUAUUUUUUUAAAAGUCUAAAGAGCAAAAAAAUGUAUAGUUGCAAAGUAUGCAAACGCUUUGGAUGACUUUAUUUUUAUUAUGUAAACUGUUGAACACGACUGUGGUGUACAAACUCUUUACAUGUAAGGAGUCCAUGCACUUUACAGUAACCUUUGUGAUUCGGUAAUGAGACAGUUAUACAUCCAACUGCCAUUAUUUUUUAUUAAGUGCUUUCUUUUUCUUUACAAUUAUUACAAAGUUGUAUUUAUUUUCUACAGAUGGAUUUUUGUUUUCAUGAUGCUGUAAUGUUUACUUCAGCUUGUUGAGCUUUCUUUGUGAUCUGCAUGUCACUAUGUGUGUUUUAAGAAUGACUGUAAAGGCUGUGGUAACUGUCAUUCACUUUUGUAAAGGGCUGGUCACACGUGGAUCUGGUUUCUGAAUGCAUUGGAUGAUUUUGCCAGAUCACCUUUUCAGAAAUUUAAAUAUUGUGAAUACCAAAAGAAGCAUUUUCUCAGCAAAAAUUAAUAGCUGGUUCUAUUUUUUUUUUAAUGUAGAGAAAAUAAAGUUGAAUUUUUUUCCCCAAAACAAUGCUUUUAAUUCUUAAUAGUAGGGUGGGUGUCUGUGCUGUCCUGGAGUUGCUCAGCGCCUGCUGCUGCGGCUUAUGCCUGGAGCUCAGCAUCCAAUGGCCUGGCCUGUGAGAAAACCAUCCGGCUCCUCCCAGGACUUAAAAGAUUUGCCUUCCUCCAGUCUUACCAUGUGGUGUGUUCUGGCAAAUGUUGAGCAGUCCUCUCUCUUGGAAAGAAUUAUGUAUGUUUUAAAGUGUGGGGAAAAGUUCCGAAAUCAACAUGACCAAGUAGCUUCUGAUUGUGAGGAGUCUGGGGACAGCAAGGUUUUCAGGAAGCACAGCGGCGGCCAGCUCUCCUUGUUUCUCAGAGCUGAGUAAAUGUGGUAUGCCUAUCCCCACCAAAAAAAAAAACCAAAAAAAAAAAACCGGUUUGUUUGUUUUUUAACAUUAAGAACAUUGAUGGUUUAGUGUCUUGUUUGUAAAAUACCUUUGACCCCAAUGAAAACUUUUAAUGUAUGAAAAUGUCUCGCACAAUCCUACCAAAUAAGUUAAAUCGUAUGGUUCAGUCUACCUCUUCUUUUCCUGGAUUUAGGCUGCUGGUUGGGUGGGGCAGCAGUUUUAUUUCCCCUCUGAAGUACUUUAUGUGGAAGACAACAGACUGGGGGACUGAGGCCUGAAAGCAGAUUAGAGGCUCUUUGAGAUCUGUUGCUGACCAGCCCUGUUCCCCAUGAGUUGGGGAAAAGCCAUUGUUUUUAAUUCCCACUUAAUAUGAAAAUGUUUGUUUUAAAAAUUGUUUCUUGCUGGUGAAAAAUGUAUUUUUAAAAGGAAAAACCAAAUCCUCUUUUGGUCUGAGGAGUCAGCUGUAUGAGCAGGUGUGACCGUAUCAUAACAUGCUGAUGUCAUAGAAAUCAAUAAAUUUUUACCUCUCAG